RNAcentral lists this ribosomal RNA (499 nucleotides) under uncultured bacterium. RNAcentral describes it as "partial 16S ribosomal RNA". It matches the Rfam family "Bacterial small subunit ribosomal RNA", at positions 28 to 507 of the family's 1533-position model. The record is from RNAcentral.
GACGAACGCUGGCGGCGUGCUUAACACAUGCAAGUCGAACGGGCCCGCCCCUGUUUUUGGGGGUGGGUUGAGUGGCGAACGGGUGAGUAUCACGUGAGUAACCUGCCCCCUGCUCCUGGAUAACUGCUUGAAAGGGCGGCUAAUACGGGGUGUGCCGGCUGGUCCGCAUGGGCCUGGUCGGGAUAGUUUCAUCUUCGGGUGUUUCGGUGGGGGAUGGGCUCGCGGCCUAUCAGCUUGUUGGUGGGGUGAUGGCCCACCAAGGCGGUGACGGGUAGCCGGCCUGAGAGGGUGGGCGGCCACCCUGGGACUGAGACACGGCCCAGACUCCUGCGGGAGGCAGCAGUGGGGGGUAUUGCGCAAUGGGCGGAAGCCUGAUGCAGCGACGUCGCGUGAGGGAUGGAGGCCUUCGGGUUGUGAACCUCUUUCUCCGGUGGUGAAGGCCCUGUCCGUUGCGGCGGGGUUGACGGUAGCCGGGUAUGAAGCGCCGGCUAACUACGUG